RNAcentral lists this ribosomal RNA (253 nucleotides) under uncultured bacterium. RNAcentral describes it as "partial 16S ribosomal RNA". It matches the Rfam family "Bacterial small subunit ribosomal RNA", at positions 524 to 776 of the family's 1533-position model. RNAcentral also lists the same sequence under 1 other name. The record is from RNAcentral.
UACGGAGGGUGCAAGCGUUAUCCGGAUUUACUGGGUUUAAAGGGUGCGUAGGCGGCUCUUUAAGUCAGUGGUGAAAGCCUAGUGCUUAACACUAGAAUUGCCAUUGAAACUGAAGAGCUUGAGUCAAGGAGAGGUAAGCAGAAUUUAUGGUGUAGCAGUGAAAUGCUUAGAUACCAUAAGGAAUACCAAUAGCGAAGGCAGCUUACUGGCCUUGCACUGACGCUGAGGCACGAAAGCGUGGGGAGCAAACAGG